Molecule: ribosomal RNA, 630 nt
Filed under: Acuticoccus yangtzensis
Lineage: Bacteria; Pseudomonadati; Pseudomonadota; Alphaproteobacteria; Hyphomicrobiales; Amorphaceae
Description: bacterial SSU rRNA
Rfam family: Bacterial small subunit ribosomal RNA
Source: RNAcentral
GCGGCGGACGGGUGAGUAACGCGUGGGAACUUACCCAUCGCUGCGGAAUAGCGUUCGGAAACGGACGCUAAUACCGGAUACGCCCUUCGGGGGAAAGAUUUAUUGCAGAUUGAUGGGCCCGCGUUGGAUUAGAUGGUUGGUGUGGUAAUGGCGCACCAAGGCGACGAUCCAUAGCUGGUCUAAGAGGAUGAUCAGCCACACUGGGACUGAGACACGGCCCAGACUCCUACGGGAGGCAGCAGUGGGGAAUCUUAGACAAUGGGCGAAAGCCUGAUCUAGCCAUGCCGCGUGAGUGAUGACGGUCUUAGGGUCGUAAAGCUCUUUCGCUAGGGAUGAUAAUGACAGUACCUGGUAAAGAAGCCCCGGCUAACUUCGUGCCAGCAGCCGCGGUAAUACGAAGGGGGCUAGCGUUGUUCGGAAUUACUGGGCGUAAAGCGCGCGUAGGCGGAUCGUUAAGUUGGGGGUGAAAUCCCGGGGCUCAACCUCGGAACUGCCUCUGAUACUGUCGGUCUUGAGUCCGAGAGAGGUGAGUGGAACUCCGAGUGUAGAGGUGAAAUUCGUAGAUAUUUCUGAAAGAACACCAGUGGCGAAGGCAGUCUCACUGGUUCGAUACUGACGCUGAGGUGCGAA